AGACGUCUACAUUAGAUACCCGUGUAGUCCUAGCCGUAAACGAUACUCGCUAGGUGUCGGCCACGGUGCGACCGUUGUCGGUGCCGUAGGGAAGCCGUUAAACUCGCUGCCUGGGAGCACGGUCGCAAGGCUGAAACUUAAAGGAAUUGGCGGGGGAGCACAACAACGGGUGGAGCUUGCGGUUUAAUUGGAUUCAACGCCGGAAAUCUUACCGGGACCGACAGCAACAUGAAGGCCAAGCUGAAGACUUUGCCGGAUUAGCUG
Molecule: ribosomal RNA, 264 nt
Filed under: uncultured archaeon
Lineage: Archaea
Description: partial 16S ribosomal RNA
Rfam family: Archaeal small subunit ribosomal RNA
Source: RNAcentral